UAGCCUAGUGGUUAAGGCUAUGGAUCACCAAUCCGGAGACGGCGGGUUCGAUUCCCGU
This is a non-coding RNA of Aedes albopictus (Asian tiger mosquito), 58 nucleotides long. The record is from Rfam. NCBI's taxonomy places the organism in Eukaryota, Metazoa, Arthropoda, Insecta, Diptera, Culicidae.